This 343-nucleotide long non-coding RNA is filed under the name Bos taurus (domestic cattle). RNAcentral's name for it is "long non-coding RNA NONBTAT026981". Lineage: Eukaryota; Metazoa; Chordata; Mammalia; Artiodactyla; Bovidae. The record is from RNAcentral.
UCUCAAUUUAGUAAUAUAGAACUGAGUAUAUUUCAUGUUUUAAUUGAUAAAGUACUUAAAUAAUUAGUUUUCCUUAAGAUAAGUUUUUACUUUUAUUGAAAUAGUGUUUCUCAUUUCUAAACAAUAUAAAUUAGCAGUCUGGAGAUUAUUCUUAUAUAUAUCAUUAUCUAAAGGUACUGUUUUCAUCACAUUCGUUUUAGUUAUAUAAUGAUUAAGUAUGGAAUACUAUAUUUCUUGAUUACUUGUUCAUAUAUAUGCAUUAAUUUUAAUCAUAAUUUAAAAUCAGGAAAAUAAGAGGUUAGGAUACUAUGAAUUUGUGUAUUAUAUCUUACAAAAAUUGAAC